GGGGAAUCUUGCGCAUGGGCGCAAGGCUGACGCAGCAGACGCCGCGUGCUAGGGAUGGACAGGCUCUUCGGGUGUGUAAACCNCUUGUUGCCCGGGACGAACACGACCGUACCCACGAGACUAGACGCGUCCGGGUAACGUACUGAUAGCCACCGAGCUAGACGUGCUGAUGACCACAGCCG
This 182-nucleotide ribosomal RNA is filed under the name uncultured bacterium. RNAcentral's name for it is "partial 16S ribosomal RNA". The record is from RNAcentral.